RNAcentral lists this ribosomal RNA (429 nucleotides) under Actinomycetes bacterium. RNAcentral describes it as "Actinobacteria bacterium partial 16S ribosomal RNA". It matches the Rfam family "Bacterial small subunit ribosomal RNA", at positions 355 to 776 of the family's 1533-position model. Lineage: Bacteria; Bacillati; Actinomycetota; Actinomycetes. The record is from RNAcentral.
UGGGGAAUUUUGGACAAUGGGCGAAAGCCUGAUCCAGCAAUGCCGCGUGUGUGAAGAAGGCCUUCGGGUUGUAAAGCACUUUUGUCCGGAAAGAAAUGGCUCUGGUUAAUACCUGGGGUCGAUGACGGUACCGGAAGAAUAAGGACCGGCUAACUACGUGCCAGCAGCCGCGGUAAUACGUAGGGUCCAAGCGUUAAUCGGAAUUACUGGGCGUAAAGCGUGCGCAGGCGGUUGUGCAAGACCGAUGUGAAAUCCCCGAGCUUAACUUGGGAAUUGCAUUGGUGACUGCACGGCUAGAGUGUGUCAGAGGGGGGUAGAAUUCCACGUGUAGCAGUGAAAUGCGUAGAGAUGUGGAGGAAUACCGAUGGCGAAGGCAGCCCCCUGUGAUAACACUGACGCUCAUGCACGAAAGCGUGGGGAGCAAACAGG